This 255-nucleotide ribosomal RNA is filed under the name uncultured bacterium. RNAcentral describes it as "partial 16S ribosomal RNA". It matches the Rfam family "Bacterial small subunit ribosomal RNA", at positions 524 to 776 of the family's 1533-position model. The record is from RNAcentral.
UACGGGGGGAGCAAGCGUUGUUCGGAUUUACUGGGCGUAAAGGGCGCGUAGGCGGCCACCGCAAGUCGACUGUGAAAUCUCCGGGCUUAACCCGGAAAGGUCAGCCGAUACUGCGGGGCUAGAGUGCAGAAGGGGCAACUGGGAAUUCUCGGUGUAGCGGUGAAAUGCGUAGAUAUCGAGAGGAACACCUGCGGCGAAGGCGGGUUGCUGGGCUGACACUGACGCUGAAGCGCGAAAGCUAGGGGAGCGAACGGG